This is a long non-coding RNA of Brassica oleracea var. oleracea, 943 nucleotides long. RefSeq lists it as uncharacterized. The record is from RefSeq and is a predicted model, not a curated record. The transcript is spliced from 2 exons. Lineage: Eukaryota; Viridiplantae; Streptophyta; Magnoliopsida; Brassicales; Brassicaceae.
CUCCACCUCCCUCCGGUGGUCUUCGUAAGUUAACUAAACUGAUUAAGUACUAUUCAGAGACAUCAUAGGACAUAGAGAGUAGAUAUCAAUGUGUGUUUUGUCUGUGAGCAACUGGGACAGAUAACUCAAACCAAGCGCGCUGUGGCUAGAGCUAAAGAAUCUGCGAAGGAGAUCGUGAAUGUGAAGUCACUGAUCGACGAGAAAGCUUGGCCGAUCAGGAUUGCUUCUCUCUCAAGUUUUUUUCAAGUUUAUCCCAACAAGGGCUUCGUACCAAGUUUGGAUAGAUGUUUAACAAAGUUUCAGCCGUGGUUUGUGUUUUUGUUUUCACAAGGUCACGGCAAAGGUGAAUGCCUCCACGCAUGUUCUUUCUUAUUGAAGCUGCCUCUUUUGGUUGAUCUUCCACAUACCAGAAUCUCACUGCGUCUGAAUCUAUUGCUUUUUUUUUCAAAGCUCAAUGGAGAUGAUGAGUUGAUAGUGUCUAUACGUAGGAGCUCCUUGCGUGCCAUAAUUGAAAAUCGUGUCAUGUGCCAGUGCUACCAAGUGGACACACAAAAGAAUGAGAAGUGUUGUUAUUCCUCUAUCAAAUCGUGAACUAUGUGCUACAAGGUGCUUCUUAACUUACUAUAGCUGCCAAGAAAUGGAUCCAGCUUCAUUGCAUCGAACAGGCUCCAAAGAAUAAAUCAGUUGGAUUUUGAUGAUGCAUGAAAAAUGUCAAAUUAUUUGUCGAGAUGACACAGACAAGAGUAAAUAGAAAUCAGUAAAGUUGGUUCAAUUGUUUCCUCCAAAGCCUCCGCAGUUUUACAUUUAACAGUCCCGGUUCUCACUCGGUUAUUGAUUUUUUAUAAUGUAAUUUAUACAGUGUUAUUAACUGUUUAGGCUUUGUCUGAUUCAAACUUUUGUAUAGCCUUAACAUAUUAUUACUACCUCAUGAAAAAUUAAAGUA